GAUGAAGAACGUAGCGAAAUGCGAUAAGUAGUGUGAAUUGCAGAAUUCAGUGAAUCAUCGAAUCUUUGAACGCACAUUGCGCCCGCCAGUAUUCUGGCGGGCAUGCCUGUCCGAGCGUCAUUUCAACCCUCGAACCCCUCCGGGGGGUCGGCGUUGGGGAUCGGCCCUUUCACCGGGUGCCGGCCCCUAAAUACAGUGGCGGUCUCGCCGCAGCCUCUCAUGCGCAGUAGUUUGCACACUCGCACCGGGAGCGCGGCGCGUCCUCGUCCGUAAAACACCCCAAACUUCUGAAAUGUUGACCUCGGAUCAGGUAGGAAUACCCGCUGAACUUAAGCAUAUCAAUAAGCGGAGGA
RNAcentral lists this unclassified non-coding RNA (353 nucleotides) under soil metagenome. Its description in RNAcentral is "partial contains 5.8S ribosomal RNA, internal transcribed spacer 2, and large subunit ribosomal RNA". The stretch from base 1 to 120 matches the Rfam family "5.8S ribosomal RNA", at positions 35 to 154 of the family's 154-position model. The record is from RNAcentral.